RNAcentral lists this transfer RNA (78 nucleotides) under Thermoprotei archaeon. RNAcentral's name for it is "tRNA-Thr". It matches the Rfam family "tRNA". Rfam says of the family: Transfer RNA (tRNA) molecules are approximately 80 nucleotides in length. Their secondary structure includes four short double-helical elements and three loops (D, anti-codon, and T loops). The record is from RNAcentral. Lineage: Archaea; Thermoproteati; Thermoproteota; Thermoprotei.
GCCCCGGUAGCUCAGUCUGGUUGGAGCACUGCCUUGGUAAGGCAGGGGUCGCGGGUUCGAAUCCCGCCCGGGGCUCCA